RNAcentral lists this unclassified non-coding RNA (703 nucleotides) under Hevea brasiliensis (rubber tree). The record is from RNAcentral. Lineage: Eukaryota; Viridiplantae; Streptophyta; Magnoliopsida; Malpighiales; Euphorbiaceae.
UCCAAUCUUAAAUUAUUAUUUGGUCAUUUUAUAUUAAAAUUUAUUUAUAUAAUAAAUUGAAAUGUAGGGGGUUUUAUGAUAUUAAUUAAAUUUGAUGGUCGUUUGUGGUACAUCUAUUAAAAUAGAGGGAUAGUGAGUGAAAUUUAGCCAUAAUUUAAUCUAAAACCGGUAAUUGUAGGUCACGGGGGUUUUAAUCAUACUACUCAAAUUGAAGUUCAGGGAUUUUUAUAAUACAAAUUGAAGUUGAGGGACAUUGCUAAUAUAAUCACCAAAGUUGAGGGAUAACAGAUGAAAUUAACCCAUUUAUUUUCUGUUGAAUUUUGCGUCCAUAAUAUCUCAAUGGGUAAGCCUGCAUUGGAUAAAAUAGAGGGUCUGGGCAUGAUAUAGAAGGUAUUUGGGCCAUGAAACAACAUUUUUUUUUUAAUAUCAAUUUGGUAAUACCAGUAGAUUUGUGUACAAUGAACUCUAGUUUUUCAGGGUGGAUGCAUUCAAUAUGUGGUUCUUGCUCUACAAUACUAGUUGUCAUCCAGUAGGUUGUUCAAAGGAACAGGGACUGGUGUUCUGAUACUUCUCAUGUGCUUCUUUAUGAUAUCUUUCACUGUGUAACAUAUUAAUUACCUUUUUAAAAAAAUUGUAUUUGUUCUUUAGAGAAUCACAAUAUGUACUUUUUGGGCUGCAGGAAAGUCAUGCUUCGUGUAGAUGC